CAGGUAGAUAGGCUAGAAGUGGAAGUGUAGUGAUGCAUGGAGCGGACUAGUACUAAUAGGUCGAGGACUUAACCAAG
Molecule: ribosomal RNA, 77 nt
Filed under: Oenococcus oeni
Lineage: Bacteria; Bacillati; Bacillota; Bacilli; Lactobacillales; Lactobacillaceae
Description: partial 23S ribosomal RNA
Source: RNAcentral